This 311-nucleotide ribosomal RNA is filed under the name uncultured fungus. RNAcentral describes it as "eukaryotic LSU rRNA". It matches the Rfam family "Eukaryotic large subunit ribosomal RNA", at positions 289 to 607 of the family's 3401-position model. The record is from RNAcentral. Lineage: Eukaryota; Fungi.
AAAUGGGUGGUAAAUUUCAUCUAAAGCUAAAUAUUGGCCAGAGACCGAUAGCGCACAAGUAGAGUGAUCGAAAGAUGAAAAGCACUUUGAAAAGAGAGUUAAACAGUAUGUGAAAUUGUUGAAAGGGAAGCGCUUGCAACCAGACUUGUUUAUAGGGUUCAGCCGUCGUUUUCGUCGGUGUAUUUCCCUAUUAUCAGGCCAGCAUCAGUUUAGGUGGAAGGUCAAAGGCCUUGGGAAUGUAUCAUCCUCCGGGAUGUCUUAUAGCCCUCGGUGUAAUGCUUCCCUCCCGGACUGAGGAACGCGCUUUUGCU